AUUGACGGGGGCCCGCACAAGCGGAGGAACAUGUGGUUUAAUUCGAUGAUACGCGAGGAACCUUACCCGGGCUUGAAUUGCAGAGGAAGGAUUUAGAGAUAAUGACGCCCUUCGGGGUCUCUGUGAAGGUGCUGCAUGGUUGUCGUCAGCUCGUGCCGUGAGGUGUCGGCUUAAGUGCCAUAACGAGCGCAACCCCUCUCUUCAGUUGCCAUCAGGUAAUGCUGGGCACUCUGGAGACACUGCCACCGUAAGGUGUGAGGAAGGUGGGGAUGACGUCAA
This 279-nucleotide ribosomal RNA is filed under the name Schizochytrium aggregatum. RNAcentral describes it as "partial Bacterial small subunit ribosomal RNA". It matches the Rfam family "Bacterial small subunit ribosomal RNA", at positions 909 to 1188 of the family's 1533-position model. The record is from RNAcentral. Lineage: Eukaryota; Bigyra; Thraustochytrida; Thraustochytriidae.